CAGUCGCCGCGGUAAUACAGAGGGUGCGAGCGUUAAUCGGAUUUACUGGGCGUAAAGCGUGCGUAGGCGGCUUCUUAAGUCGGAUGUGAAAUCCCUGAGCUUAACUUAGGAAUUGCAUUCGAUACUGGGAAGCUAGAGUAUGGGAGAGGAUGGUAGAAUUCCAGGUGUAGCGGUGAAAUGCGUAGAGAUCUGGAGGAAUACCGAUGGCGAAGGCAGCCAUCUGGCCUAAUACUGACGCUGAGGUACGAAAGCAUGGGGAGCAAACAGGAUUAGAUACCCCUGUAGUCCCUGUCUCUUUUAC
This 301-nucleotide ribosomal RNA is filed under the name uncultured bacterium. RNAcentral's name for it is "partial 16S ribosomal RNA". It matches the Rfam family "Bacterial small subunit ribosomal RNA", at positions 509 to 807 of the family's 1533-position model. The record is from RNAcentral.